GUAACAGUGGCGUACGGGUGGAGUAACACGUGGGGAUCUACCUCCUGGUGGGGAAUAACUCUGGGAAACCGGAGCUAAUACCGCAUAAGCAGGGAACUGGAAAGCCGAAAGGCGCCGGAAGAGGAGCCCGCGGCCGAUUAGCUAGUUGGUGAGGUAACGGCUCACCAAGGCAAAGAUCGGUAGCCGGCCUGAGAGGGCACACGGCCACACUGGCACUGAAACACGGGCCAG
Molecule: ribosomal RNA, 231 nt
Filed under: uncultured bacterium
Lineage: Bacteria
Description: partial 16S ribosomal RNA
Rfam family: Bacterial small subunit ribosomal RNA
Source: RNAcentral